CACACACACUCACACGCACACACUCUCACACACACACACACACACACACUCACGCACGCACUCUCUCACACACACACACACACACACUGUAAAGGAUGGGGUUGUUUUGUGCGCUCAACGGAUGAACAGAGUGGGAAUGGAAUUUAAGGGGGAUACUUUCAAGGUCGCAAUUAAUGCAAAUCAACAUCACUAUCUCUUGGGAAAGUAUAAGGGAGUCUAUUGCAUUGACCUUCAAGAUAAAGUUGGAAACUGUUGUCGUUUGAACAAUAUUAGGUGCAGGACCCUGGUACCACGUUGAUUACGAAACCUCAGAGAUAUUGCCAAUUAAGAACUCAUCUUUUUGUGUAAUUAAAAUGAAGUGCACCCAAUUGGGAGGCGGAGCGAACCUGGCCAGUUUGCUUUCUCUCUCACCUGGAGGGCUGUUCUUAAACCGCACCUAAUUUUAAAGUAUAAAAAAGGGGGUUUCUUUCAGAAACAGUGGAAGCUCAGCCGUGGGAUGAGCGCGCGUCGCCUCUCGGACAAGUGUUGGUCUUCUACUGUGACUGAAACGGGCUCCCCAGUCUUUUGAAGAGUGAAGAUGACGGCACGGCUCUGAGUUGAUGAUCUGGCAUCCCGCGAGGCUGGCGUGACGAUCGAACAUCUUGAUUGGCUGAGAGUCUCCCUCCAUGCUCCAAUGAUAGACGGCCGUGUCCGUAACCAGGGCAACGGUGUUAACGGAGAUCCACCUCCAGAACAGCACUUCGUCCGUCAUGAGCGAUGACUUUGCUGGCCGGGUUCAUGAUGGCGCUGUCUGCCGUGAUCGGCCGGCGGAUCGGGUUGCUCGGGUCGCUCAGGUCCACGAUCACCACCUGGUUCUGCUCGCCCACCUUCUCGCGGAUGCAGAUGAAGCGGU
Long non-coding RNA from Onychostoma macrolepis, 892 nucleotides. RefSeq lists it as uncharacterized. Lineage: Eukaryota; Metazoa; Chordata; Actinopteri; Cypriniformes; Cyprinidae. The record is from RefSeq and is a predicted model, not a curated record. The transcript has 3 exons.